This is an RNA transcript of Esox lucius (northern pike), 4109 nucleotides long. It is a transcript of the gene named transient receptor potential cation channel, subfamily C, member 6b, with no coding region annotated. Lineage: Eukaryota; Metazoa; Chordata; Actinopteri; Esociformes; Esocidae. The record is from RefSeq and is a predicted model, not a curated record. The transcript is spliced from 15 exons.
UUUUCGGUUUUGGCUCUGAUACGCAGCGGUUAGUUCUCCGUAGCUCGCUAACUUUAUGCUCGGUUAAAAUAUGGGCUGUGCAACAUCGUAUAACCUUUUGUAAGCACAAUGAGACCAAUAUUGGAUUACAUAAAUUCUUCGUUAAAGAGCUAUUGAGAUUUGAAGAACCGAAUGUCUGUCGAAUGUCCAAUCUAAAACUAACUUUUUUACGCGCGUUCAUACUGUUUUAGGUCUGUUAGAUUAACUAAUGAUAUAAUAAAAAAAAUCGAGUCUCUCUGUCAUCGCAGUUUUGAGUUUUGAUGCGUCGUGCGCAUAAAGUGAAUGAGGGAUUAUGUGAUUCUGUGAUUUUUCUUGAUUAUUCUGUUUGGUACAUCGUUAUCAAGGACUUAAUUCUCCCCACACAGUAGGCCUAUAGGUUCCACUGCCAUGUUCGCCACUGAGAGCGUCACCACCAAAAGUCAGUCCAGUAUUGAGUGGUCAGGCACAGGACGCGUGAACUGCGUCAAGCGCUUUUCAGUCCUCUACUGUCAAGUCCAGAAAUCGUGGAGUCUCCAGGCUGUCGGGAUCGGUUCUGUGCGCCUCUAAUUUUUUGUUCAGGAUUUACGAGAAAUGACUCACAGAACACUGUAUGUAUACGAAAAUGAUUCAACCAAACGACGUGAAACAGAAGGACAUUCUCAAAGUAAUCAUCCAAUGAUAACUACAGAUUCCUGUGCUAACAUAACUGCCGGUUGCCAGGGACAUUACCAGAGGUCGUACAAUGAGGAGAGACCGGCGGCGCUGCGGCAGACGCUGGGGAAGUCCCGGAGACUCGGCAUGCGGGGGCCCACCUACAUGUUCAGCGCCCACUCCGCCAGCCUGUCCCCGACCGAGGAGCGCUUCCUGGACGCCGCAGAGUACGGCAACAUCCCUGUGGUCCGCAAGAUGCUGGAGGAUCUUCCUGAUCUCAACUUUAACUGCGUGGACUACAUGGGCCAGAAUGCAUUGCAGCUGGCAGUGGCCAAUGAGCACCUGGAAGUGACAGAGCUGUUACUGCAGAAGGACAGCCUGGCCAGGAUAGGGGAUGCCUUACUGUUGGCCAUCAGUAAGGGAUACAUCAGGAUAGUGGAGGCACUACUGAGCCACAGGGCGUUUGCAGACACUCAGAGACUCAUCUGUAGUCCCAGUCAGGCCGAGACGCAGGACGACUUCUUCGCCUACGACGAGGACGGCACCCGGUUUUCCAAUGACAUCACUCCUGUUAUCCUGGCUUCUCACUGCCACGAGUACGAGGUAGUUCACAUACUCCUGAGGAAAGGUGCUCGCAUCACGCGGCCACACAACUACUUCUGUAAGUGCGUCACUUGUUGCUACCACCAGAAGCACGACUCGUUCAGUCACUCCAGGUCCCGCAUCAACGCCUACAAAGGUCUGGCGAGCCCGGCCUACCUGUCACUCUCCAGCGAGGACCCUGUCAUGGUAGCUUUGGAGCUGAGCAACGAACUGGCUGUUCUGGCUAACAUCGAGAAAGAGUUUAAGAAUGACUACAAGAAACUGUCCAUGCAGUGUAAAGACUUUGUGGUAGGGCUGCUGGACCUGUGUCGAAACACAGAGGAGGUGGAGGCCAUCUUAAAUGGGGACAUUGAUGCUUCUAAGAACUACGAGCCAUCGGAUGGUCAAAAUCUCAUCAGGUUAAAGCUCGCAAUAAAGUAUGAACUGAAAAAGCUGCUGCAUCCAGGAACUCUGCAGUGUGUUGUGCCUAAGAGCAUUUUUUUUGCUGUGUUUGUGGCCCAUCCUAACUGCCAGCAGCAGCUCAUGUCCAUCUGGUACCAGAACCUGGCUUGGUUAAGACAGCAGACAAGUGCUGUCAAGUCGCUGGUCGUUCUGGGCGUAGCAGUGGGGCUGCCGUUCCUAGCCCUGUUGUACUGGAUAGCCCCAUCCAGCAAGCUGGGGAAGAUAAUGCGCGGGCCGUUCCUGAAGUUUGUGGCUCACGCUGCAUCGUUUUCCAUCUUCCUGGGUCUGCUGGUGUUGAAUGCAGCGGAUCGCUUUGUGGGGACCAGUCUGCUCCCCAACAUGACCGUUCAGGACUACCCCACCCAGCUGUUCAGGAUGAAGACCACCCCCUUCACCUGGAUGGAGAUACUCAUCAUCGCCUGGGUCAUAGGGAUGAUCUGGGCCGAGUGUAAAGAGAUUUGGUCCCAGGGGCUUCGGGAAUAUCUGUUGGAACCCUGGAACCUACUAGAUUUUGGAAUGCUCUGCUUAUUUGUGACAUCGUUCAUUACUAGAUUUAUGGCCUUCUGGCAUGCCUACUUAGCCCAGAGCUACAUUGACAAGCACUACACCGACCUGUCCAACAUAACCCUGGCCCCUGAAAUAGAGUACUACAGGCGAGCUCGUAUCAACUGGGUGCCCUCUGACCCCCAGCUCAUCUCCGAGGGUCUGUAUGCCAUCGCUGUGGUACUGAGCUUCUCCCGAAUCGCCUACAUCCUGCCGGCCAACGAGAGCUUUGGGCCCCUGCAAAUAUCACUCGGUCGGACAGUGAAGGACAUCUUUAAGUUCAUGGUCAUCUUCAUCAUGGUUUUCGUGGCCUUCAUGUUUGGGAUGUUCAACCUCUACUCGUACUAUCUUGGUGCCAAGCAGAACAAUGCCUUCACCACUGUGGAGGAAAGCUUCAAGACGUUAUUCUGGGCCAUAUUCGGCCUGUCUGAAGUAAGGUCGGUGGUGAUCAACAAUGACCACAAGUUCAUAGAGAACAUUGGAUAUGUCCUGUAUGGUGUGUACAAUGUCACCAUGGUGAUCGUCCUCCUUAACAUGCUCAUCGCCAUGAUCAACAGCUCCUUCCAGGAAAUAGAGGAUGAUGCCGAUGUAGAGUGGAAGUUUGCCAGGGCCAAGCUGUGGUUCUCCUACUUUGAGGAAGGUGGAACUUUGCCAGUUCCCUUUAACCUGGUUCCUAGUCCCAAGUCCAUCAUCUCCCUGGUGAAGGUGCUCAGAGACCUCCUGCUCUCUCUGAGCGGUCACAAGAGCCCUCACAAGGAGGAUACAGAGGUCAAUAAGCUUGAUCAUCUUAAUCAUUCAACCAUCGGAGGCUCUGCUAGUCGACAUCAGAAGAUAAUGAAACGCCUCAUCAAGAGAUAUGUGAUCAAAUCUCAGAUUGAUAAAGACAGUGAUGAAGUGAAUGAAGGUGAGCUGAAGGAGAUCAAGCAGGACAUCUCUAGCUUACGCUACGAGCUCCUGGAGGAGAAGAACCACAACAUGGAGGAGCUAGCGGAGCUCAUCCGGAGCUUGGGGGCGAAGGCAUCUGCUGAGCACUGACACCAGCGGCAAGCUAACCUGUACAUGAAGAUGGACAAUGCCACACAUCCACAUCACAGUAAUCCAACGCAGAAGAGAAGCAGCUUCUGUUACAGGUGCAGCCUAAUCCAACGCAGCAGAGAAGCAGCUUCUGUUGCAGGUGCAGCCUGCCCUGAAGCUCCACCCAGAGGGUCAGAUGGCCGUUUCCACCCACACCCGCAGUGCGUCACUCAGGAUAAUGGUGUUUGCUGAAUGACUAAAAUGUACAAUAAAAUGUGAAAUUUAGUGAUUCAUUUAAGUGAAAGGCUUUUUCUUUUUUGUAUGUCUGGUGUUAAAACACUUGUCUUUCCACAGGGAUGAACAGCAGAAUCUCUUAUCUUUUUAAAUGAGUCUAUCUUCCUUGUGCUAGUAUGUUAAUAGGCGUUUCUAAGACUUCUUUUAUUGACAAUAAAUGAUUUCCCAACUCAGGAUCAAUGAAGUACCUUUCUAAUCUCUCCUGUAACCCCCCCCCUUCAGGUUCUAAGCCUCAGGCCUCCUGUGUUCCCCAGAGGAGGGGGGUUAGAUGACACUUUAGUCCAACAAAAACACACUGAGAUCUGUACUGAAAUUUAUAAGAACGAACAUUUUGAAUGAAAAGGUUUCUGAAGUUACUUCCACUGGGCUCAUGGUGGCACUGCUGUGAUUCAUCCAGCAGCAGAUGUCUCACCCAACGCCCGUUCUUCAGCCCAUCUAGUCACUUUGGACAGUGGGAAAAGAUUCAUAGUUGUAUUUCCUUUGCAGCUAAUCAAAUUCCUGGGCAAAGAAACAAAAUAACACAUCCGACAUGCUGAAACCCAAAA